This 20-nucleotide non-coding RNA is filed under the name Arabidopsis thaliana (thale cress). Lineage: Eukaryota; Viridiplantae; Streptophyta; Magnoliopsida; Brassicales; Brassicaceae. The record is from RNAcentral.
GUACUAUCAGAGAUAGGGUA